UACGUAGGGUGCAAGCGUUGUCCGGAAUUAUUGGGCGUAAAGAGCUUGUAGGCGGUUUGUCGCGUCCGCUGUGAAAUUUCGGGGCUCAACCCCGAACUUGCAGUGGGUACGGGCAGACUAGAGUGUGGUAGGGGAGACUGGAAUUCCUGGUGUAGCGGUGAAAUGCGCAGAUAUCAGGAGGAACACCGAUGGCGAAGGCAGCACUCUGGGACGUGACUGACGCUGAGGCGCGAAAGCGUGGGGAGCAAACAGG
RNAcentral lists this ribosomal RNA (253 nucleotides) under uncultured bacterium. Its description in RNAcentral is "partial 16S ribosomal RNA". It matches the Rfam family "Bacterial small subunit ribosomal RNA", at positions 524 to 776 of the family's 1533-position model. The record is from RNAcentral.